Molecule: ribosomal RNA, 520 nt
Filed under: uncultured Glomus
Lineage: Eukaryota; Fungi; Glomeromycota; Glomeromycetes; Glomerales; Glomeraceae
Description: SSU rRNA
Rfam family: Eukaryotic small subunit ribosomal RNA
Source: RNAcentral
AGCAGCCGCGGUAAUUCCAGCUCCAAUAGCGUAUAUUAAAGUUGUUGCAGUUAAAAAGCUCGUAGUUGAAUUUCGGGAUCAAUACGUCUGUCGUGCCUUUGGUACGUACGGGUGUAAUUGGUUUCUACCUUCUGAGGAUCCUUGAUGUCAUUAAUUUGGUGUCUUGGGGAAUCAGGACUGUCACCUUGAAAAAAUUAGAGUGUUUAAAGCAGGCAUACGCUUGAAUACAUUAGCAUGGAAUAAUGAAAUAGGACGUUCGAUUCUAUUUUGUUGGUUUCUAGGAUCGACGUAAUGAUUAAUAGGGAUAGUUGGGGGCAUUAGUAUUCAAUUGUCAGAGGUGAAAUUCUUGGAUUUAUUGAAGACUAACUACCGCGAAAGCAUUUGCCAAGGAUGUUUUCAUUAAUCAAGAACGAAAGUUAGGGGAUCGAAGACGAUCAGAUACCGUCGUAGUCUUAACCAUAACUAUGCCGACUAGGGAUCGGAUGAUGUUUAAUUUUUAAUGACUCAUUCGGCGUCCGUU